RNAcentral lists this long non-coding RNA (697 nucleotides) under Homo sapiens (human). RNAcentral's name for it is "HSALNT0004533". Lineage: Eukaryota; Metazoa; Chordata; Mammalia; Primates; Hominidae. The record is from RNAcentral.
CUGGUAUCAACUCCUUAAAAUGAUUUAAUGACUCCUCCCCCUGCCAUGGGUUGUGGUUUGAAUUAGAAAAAUAUUAUCUGUUAAGAGCUUAAUGAAGCAUCUGGCACAUAGCACAGUUUAAUAGAUGUCAGGUACUGUUACUGUUGUUGUUGUUAAGAGCAGACUGACCAAGGCUGCAGAAGGACAGGCUUGAUUGCAACAGACACUUCUGUGCAGUCAGGACUAUCUCACUGGUCUCUUUCUGUGUGUCAGCAUCUCUUCCCUACGCUGACCUUCUCCUCACAGUUGCAGCCAUGGCUGCAGGCUGCUCCAAGAUGACAUCGAUAUGGCUCUACUACCAGAAAGGAAAAGAGUGCUUUCUCUUUCCCCCUGAAGCUUCAGUAAUAAUCGUAGCUAACAUUUAUUGCGUGCUUAUGUGGACCAGACGCUGUCCUAAGUCUUUAUAGUAUUCUUCCCCUCAGUCCUCAUGAUGAUCUGUGGUGGAGUCGUUGGCAGAGGAUGGCUGGAUGUACAUCAGACCCAUUUCUUCUUCCUGGGCCCACAAGUAAACUGCAUUUCCCAGGCCUCUUGUAGCCAGGUGGAGCCAUGUGACUAGUUCUGGCCAAUGGUAUGUGAGUAGAGGUUUCUCUUUCUUUACUCCGUCAGCUGCUGAGGACAGGGAAACCUCGAAGGCUGUGUUAAAGACGCUGGAACCACA